Molecule: long non-coding RNA, 441 nt
Filed under: Equus caballus (horse)
Lineage: Eukaryota; Metazoa; Chordata; Mammalia; Perissodactyla; Equidae
Description: lncRNA (ENSECAG00000044017.1)
Source: RNAcentral
ACAACGCCCAGGUCCCUGCAGAGCUGUCUUUCUGGCUCUCUCAACUCCCACUGCCCUUCCCAGUUCCAAGCUCCCAUUUGCAUUAGGCAUUUCCCUCUUCCCACAAUAUUCUACCUUCUCUGACAUAAGGACUCCAGGGAGUGCUCUGUGGGCCUUUCUCCCUCUUUCGCCAGGAAUUGGCUCACAUGACUGUAGAGGCUGGAAUGUCCAAAAUCUGCAGGGCGGGCUGUCAAGCUGAGGACCCAGAGAAAAGCUGACAAUGCGGCUCAAGUCUGAAGGCAGGCUGGCAGCAGAAUUCCCGCUUUCUCAAGGCACCAUCUUUUUUCUCUUAAGGCUCUCAACUGACUGGAUGAGGCCCGCGCAUUAUGGAGGGACGCCUACCACAGCAUGGCUUGCCAAGCAGUGCCAUGGCUGCACCCAGGAUCUGAACCGGAGAACCCG